GACAGAGGGUGCAAACGUUGUUCGGAAUUACUGGGCGUAAAGCGUGUGUAGGCGGUCGAGUAAGUCGGGUGUGAAAGCCCAGGGCUCAACCCUGGAAGUGCACUCGAUACUGCCCGGCUAGAGUACUGGAGAGGUUGGUGGAAUUCUCGGUGUAGAGGUGAAAUUCGUAGAUAUCGAGAGGAACACCGGUGGCGAAGGCGGCCAACUGGACAGAUACUGACGCUGAGACACGAAAGCGUGGGGAGCAAACAGG
RNAcentral lists this ribosomal RNA (253 nucleotides) under uncultured bacterium. RNAcentral describes it as "partial 16S ribosomal RNA". It matches the Rfam family "Bacterial small subunit ribosomal RNA", at positions 524 to 776 of the family's 1533-position model. The record is from RNAcentral.